UAUUAUACCAAGAUUUAAUCUGUAAACCUAAUUAGUAGUAGUUAUAUCCUUCAAAUUUGAAAAAUUUGGCGGUGAUUUAGUCUUGUCAGAGGAACCUGUUUUUGAAUCGAUACACCACGAAGCAUCUUACUUAAGCUUAAACAAUUAAGGGUAUGUAUACCGUCAUUAUUAGGUAAUUUUUAUAGAAUUUAAUUACUGAAACUAAAUUAAUAAAGUUAAAUAUAUUAGAUCAAGGUGCAGCUUAUGCUUAAAGUUAAAAUGGGUUACAAUAUUACUUAGUAUAUAAUGGAAAAAUGAUUUAAAGAUCAUUUAGAAGGAGGAUUUGAUUGUAAGGUUAAUUUAAUAUGUUAAUCAGAUAUAAGCUCUAAAUCAUGU
This 375-nucleotide ribosomal RNA is filed under the name Monomia gladiator. Its description in RNAcentral is "partial small subunit ribosomal RNA". The record is from RNAcentral. Lineage: Eukaryota; Metazoa; Arthropoda; Malacostraca; Decapoda; Portunidae.